AACGAACGCUGGCGGCAUGCCUAACACAUGCAAGUCGAACGGGAUCCAGGCUUCGGCCUGGUGAGAGUGGCGGACGGGUGAGUAACACGUGGGAACCUGCCUUUUGGUUCGGGAUAACCGCGGGAAACUGCGGCUAAUACCGGAUGCUCCCGAGAGGGGAAAGAUUUAUCGCCAGAAGAGGGGCCCGCGUCCGAUUAGGUAGUUGGUGAGGUAAUGGCUCACCAAGCCGACGAUCGGUAGCUGGUCUGAGAGGAUGAUCAGCCACACUGGGACUGAGAUACGGCCCAGACUCCUACGGGAGGCAGCAGUGGGGAAUAUUGGACAAUGGGGGCAACCCUGAUCCAGCAAUGCCGCGUGAGUGAUGAAGGCCUUAGGGUUGUAAAGCUCUUUUGCCAGGGAAGAUGAUGACUGUACCUGGAGAAUAAGCCCCCGGCUAAACUUCGUGCCAGCAGCCGCGGUAAU
This 462-nucleotide ribosomal RNA is filed under the name uncultured bacterium. Its description in RNAcentral is "bacterial SSU rRNA". It matches the Rfam family "Bacterial small subunit ribosomal RNA", at positions 29 to 524 of the family's 1533-position model. The record is from RNAcentral.